Solanum dulcamara is the source of this 542-nucleotide long non-coding RNA. RefSeq lists it as uncharacterized. The transcript is spliced from 2 exons. Lineage: Eukaryota; Viridiplantae; Streptophyta; Magnoliopsida; Solanales; Solanaceae. The record is from RefSeq and is a predicted model, not a curated record.
AUAGAAACAUAAUUUAGUGUCUAAAAAAUAAAUACUAUGAAAACAGUCAAAUAUUAUGGCUAGUUGGUGCAAAUCCUACAGAUAGGAACCUGUCGUCUGGGCCCAUUUUUCAGAUCAAAUGGUGACUUGCCCCAAAGCCCAUUAGGGUUUCCUUUUAUAUUCCACCAGCCAUGCCUUCCCUUCUCAUAGUGCCAUAUCUCUUCUUCAUCGAUAGGUUCACUCCGGCCAGGAAGUAAAGAGAGUCCCUUCCGUCGUAGCUGAUUCACCAUGAGAGCCAAGUGGAAGAAGAAGCGUAUGAGGAGAUUGAAGAGGAAGCGCCGAAAGAUGAGGCAGAGAUCCAAAUAGAAUCGUGUUGGGCAGUUAUUAGCUUUUGACAUAUCACUCUCGGUUAUUGCGUUUUUGUCUUAAUUUCAGUAUUUGCCGUUAAAUUUCAGUAGUUACAUUUUCCUUAUGGCACCUAAUGUAUUUCUGCUUCUGAGGUGUAUUGAAACUAUGUGAGCCAUUUGUGGCUCAAGUUUAUGAUAUUUACUCCUUAUCUUAUA